This 476-nucleotide ribosomal RNA is filed under the name Sciomesa sp. SCKEG4840. Its description in RNAcentral is "partial 16S large subunit ribosomal RNA". The record is from RNAcentral. Lineage: Eukaryota; Metazoa; Arthropoda; Insecta; Lepidoptera; Noctuidae.
UGUCUUUUUGAAAAUAAUAUAAAGUCUAAUCUGCCCACUGAUUUAAUAAUUGAAGGGCUGCAGUAUAUUGACUGUACAAAGGUAGCAUAAUCAUUAGUCAUUUAAUUGAUGACUUGUAUGAAGGAUUGGAUGAAAUAUAAACUGUCUCUUGAUUAAAUAUAGAAUUUAAUUUUUUAAUUAAAAAGUUAAAAUAAUUUAAAAAGACGAGAAGACCCUAUAGAGUUUUAUAAAUAAAUUAAUUAAGAUUAUUUAUUAAGUUAAAAUUGAAAUUGGAGUAUUUAUUAUAUUGGGGUGAUAGAAAAAUAUGGUUAACUUUUUUUUAUAGGUAACAUACAUAAGUGGUUAAAUGAUCCAAUAUUAUUGAUUAUAAGAAAAAAUUACCUUAGGGAUAACAGCGUAAUUUUUUUUUUUAGUUCAUAUAAGAAAAAGAGUUUGCGACCUCGAUGUUGGAUUAAGAUAAAAUUUAAAUGCAGAAG